Molecule: ribosomal RNA, 253 nt
Filed under: uncultured bacterium
Lineage: Bacteria
Description: partial 16S ribosomal RNA
Rfam family: Bacterial small subunit ribosomal RNA
Source: RNAcentral
CACGUAGGGGGCAAGCGUUAUCCGGAUUUACUGGGUGUAAAGGGAGCGUAGACGGAAUUGCAAGUCUGAUGUGAAAACCCGAGGCUCAACCACGGGAGUGCAUUGGAAACUGGCGGGCUGGAGUGCCGGAGAGGUAAGCGGAAUUCCUAGUGUAGCGGUGAAAUGCGUAGAUAUUAGGAGGAACACCAGUGGCGAAGGCGGCUUACUGGACGGCAACUGACGCUGAGGCUCGAAAGCGUGGGGAGCAAACAGG